RNAcentral lists this transfer RNA (83 nucleotides) under Micromonospora sp. AKA109. RNAcentral describes it as "tRNA-Ser". Lineage: Bacteria; Bacillati; Actinomycetota; Actinomycetes; Micromonosporales; Micromonosporaceae. The record is from RNAcentral.
CCGCCGGGGACGUUGAAGCCGUCGGUGAUCGAGUCGCCGAGGGGCAUCACCCGUACCCCGCCGUUGGAUUCGGCGCUGGCGGG